Molecule: unclassified non-coding RNA, 345 nt
Filed under: soil metagenome
Description: partial contains 5.8S ribosomal RNA, internal transcribed spacer 2, and large subunit ribosomal RNA
Rfam family: 5.8S ribosomal RNA (bases 1-119)
Source: RNAcentral
GAUGAAGAACGCAGCGAAAUGCGAUACGUAAUGUGAAUUGCAAAUUCAGUGAAUCAUCGAGUCUUUGAACGCACAUUGCGCCCCCUGGUAUUCCGGGGGGCAUGCCUGUCCGAGCGUCAUUGCUGCCCUCAAGCACGGCUUGUGUGUUGGGCCCCGUCCUCCGAUCCCGGGGGACGGGCCCGAAAGGCAGCGGCGGCACCGCGUCCGGUCCUCGAGCGUAUGGGGCUUUGUCACCCGCUCUGUAGACCCGGCCGGCGCUUGCCGAUCAACCCAAAUUUUUAUCCAGGUUGACCUCGGAUCAGGUAGGGAUACCCGCUGAACUUAAGCAUAUCAAUAAGCGGAGGA